CCCGUUCCUCACGCCGCCUCCACGCCUCCAACAGAAGAACCCUAAGCUGCCCUCGCUCCGACGCCGCCACCUCGUCGUCCGACCGCAUCGAUUCGAUGGCCCGCAUCUCCGCCGUCGUUGCCGCCGUGAUCACCGCCGCCGUUGUCGUUGACGCGCUGUUCACAGCCGCCUCCGCCACCGAGGCACCGGCCCCCGCCCCGAUGUCCGGCGCGGGCGCCCUCUCAGCGCAGCUCUCCGUCGGCUGCCUCGCGGCGCUCCUCGCCGCUUUCCUCCGCCACUGAGCGGUGAGGCCGCCCCGUCUGCGUGCGCGUCUUCAGAUCUAGUGGUACAGUGGUAGUGAGAGUUGCAGUCUAAUGUUAGUCGCAGGUAUCGUAGCGGUGGUGAUAGUGUUAUGAAGAUGAGGCAUUUGGUUUUGUUCCACGUGGUGGGUGGAUGGAUGAAUCUGGGCGUUUGGAGAGUUUUUUCAUUUUGAUGCUGGAUUUGAUUUAGUAUGAUUGGUGUUAGUUUAUUACUAUUAUUAUUUAUUAUGUGCGUUUCUGUACCUACUGCUCACCGGCUACGAGGGAUUAUUAUUAUGGAUUUAUGAUGUUUUAUGU
Zea mays is the source of this 596-nucleotide RNA transcript. RefSeq lists it as uncharacterized. The record is from RefSeq and is marked validated. The transcript has a single exon. Lineage: Eukaryota; Viridiplantae; Streptophyta; Magnoliopsida; Poales; Poaceae.